AACAUUUGGGAGAUUCUUUGUCCCUUUCCCCCUAAUUAGUGGGGUUAAAUGUUAAUGUGAAAAUGCUUUAUGUAAUACUAUGAUAUAUUAGCACUCUGAUCCAAUCAUAUCAAAGUGAUUAAAAAGAAAAAAAAUGUUCAUUUGUCUCCUCGUUUACAGAUUUGGAAAAUGAAACGGAGCACCAUUCUGUUUUAUGAUUGAAGGAACAACAAGAGAGAUCACUAAUAUUCAUGCAGGGGAGUAGUGGUACUUUUAAUUUAGGGAUAAUACAUCAAAAACUCUUCAAAACUUGGCAGCACAACUUACUUUAGUACUUUAACUACAUGAGUAUUUAAAUAUCAUCUUAACAUUUUUCAACUAUUUUUUUCAAUCUUUACAACACCAGCCCAUCACGCGUGUUAAGCGUUAUCGUCCAUUUUAACGAAUUAUUUUCAUUUUCCUCAAUUAUUUAAGACCCGACCCUCACCUUCUUCUCUUCUUCCUCACCCCCCUUAAUUUCUUUCUUCUCCUUUCCCUCACUAUAAAAAUUGAGAGGAAUUAGCUCUGCAAACCCAAAAAUUGAGUAUUUGAAUCAUAAUCUUCUUCAUCUAUCCGAGAAAAAGUAAAAUAGGAUGAUGAUACUACGAAUGAAGUUGUUCGAUGCAAUCAUGGGUUUGUGGUGCGUUUGAAAACAUCUUGGACUUCAACUGAUUACGGAAAAAGAAAUUGGUCAUGUCCUUAUUAUGGGGGUCCUAGAUCUUGCUACUUUUGGUGUUGGAGGGAUAAAGAGAAUAUUGAUGCGAGGUCCAAAUUCAUAAUUCAUAAACUAAUAGAGAAAUUGAGUGAGCUUGAGAAUUUAGUGGAAUCUUCUCAAACGUUAGCUAAUGAAUUUGUGAAAUUGAUUGAGAAUUUUGAAGAAGUUGACAAGCCUAGAGAUUUCAAUUAGACGAUAAUUGUCCAGAUAUGAAAUUGAAAAAGUUGAAAGAAGAGGUUGAGAAGUUGAAAGAAAGCAAGAAUUGGAGAAGAACUACGGAGAAUGUAUUUUUUUUCACUGUCCUUUGUUGUUGUGUUAUAGCUGUAGCUAUAAGCUAUUGGUUUAGAAUGAUAGAUAUGAAGAGAUGUUCAAUGAAGUUACCUUAGGUUGUUGAUGUUAUUAGAUUAAGAGUUCUGUUAGAUUAAUGUUAGUAUAAUAUCCUUUGUGUUUUAAUCAAUUAAGUGUAACCUCUUUUGUAAUGAACUUUGUCUUGAUUUCUUAAUAAAUUGUAGUUUGUUUGUC
Solanum dulcamara is the source of this 1255-nucleotide long non-coding RNA. RefSeq lists it as uncharacterized. The record is from RefSeq and is a predicted model, not a curated record. The transcript has 3 exons. NCBI's taxonomy places the organism in Eukaryota, Viridiplantae, Streptophyta, Magnoliopsida, Solanales, Solanaceae.